CCUACGGGAGGCAGCAGUGGGGAAUAUUGGACAAUGGGGGGAACCCUGAUCCAGCGACGCCGCGUGAGUGAAGAAGUAUUUCGGUAUGUAAAGCUCUAUCAGCAGGGAAGAAAGAGAUGACGGUACCUUACUAAGAAGCCCCGGCUAACUACGUACCAGCAGCCGCGGUAAUACGGAGGGGGCAAGCGUUAUCCGGAUUUACUGGGUGUAAAGGGAGCGUAGACGGCGAUGCAAGUCUGAAGUGAAAGGCGGGGGCCCAACCCCCGGCCUGCUUUGGAAACUGGAUGGCUGGAGUGCAGGAGAGGUAAGUGGAAUUCCUAGUGUAGCGGUGAAAUGCGUAGAUAUUAGGAGGAACACCAGUGGCGAAGGCGGCUUACUGGACUGUAACUGACGUUGAGGCUCGAAAGCGUGGGGAGCAAACAGGAUUAGAGACCCCAGUAGUC
RNAcentral lists this ribosomal RNA (443 nucleotides) under uncultured bacterium. RNAcentral's name for it is "partial 16S ribosomal RNA". It matches the Rfam family "Bacterial small subunit ribosomal RNA", at positions 338 to 795 of the family's 1533-position model. The record is from RNAcentral.